Long non-coding RNA from Micropterus dolomieu (smallmouth bass), 629 nucleotides. RefSeq lists it as uncharacterized. NCBI's taxonomy places the organism in Eukaryota, Metazoa, Chordata, Actinopteri, Centrarchiformes, Centrarchidae. The transcript has 2 exons. The record is from RefSeq and is a predicted model, not a curated record.
CCUGCAUCUGCGCAAUCGGUAUAGUCUGUGCAUCUGUUUAACGCUAUGUGGGCACUGAAGGGGACACGUGAGUCAUUUUGGUCAUUGGAAGCUGCCGUCUCUCCCGGCCCGAGCAAGCAGCUCCUCGGCAGCAGCUCGACUCAGGUCCCGGUGAUACCACAUCGGCGGUGCGGGCCCCAACGGAGAAACCCCACCACCACCUCCACCACCCCCGGCCAUGACCACAGCCCUUCAAACCGGGUUUAACUCAAGCUGCUUCCAGACUUCUCCGAAAACCUCCCAGCCCUCCUCCUCCAGACUACAGAAAUAAUCCAGUGAGUCGAGAGCCGAAAGACAAAGUAACUCGGCGUAAACGUUAUUCCGACGGAGGCUAGGAGGCGCGAGAGAACCGACGACGGGGCUACAAGUUUUACAUUUGUUAAAUUACGCUGCUUGUGGCAGUUUCCUCAGUUCCUGAAAGGCUCGUCACCCUCCUCUUUCGCUUCCCAGUCCCACGGAAAUCAGGGUAUGUAAAUCCACUCCGGAGACCGGGGAGCAACAGCGGGGAAGACCCGCGUCAAAGGCCGAGUGUCGCUAUAUACGACUUCCUGCUGGGAGUUUCAAAAUAAAACAGGCUGAUGAUAAAUUCA